RNAcentral lists this ribosomal RNA (497 nucleotides) under uncultured bacterium. RNAcentral describes it as "partial 16S ribosomal RNA". It matches the Rfam family "Bacterial small subunit ribosomal RNA", at positions 28 to 507 of the family's 1533-position model. The record is from RNAcentral.
GAUGAACGCUGGCGGCGUGCCUAAUACAUGCAAGUCGAGCGAACGGACGAGAAGCUUGCUUCUCUGAUGUUAGCGGCGGACGGGCGAGUAACACGUGGAUAACCUACCUAUAAGACUGGGAUAACUUCGGGAAACCGGAGCUAAUACCGGAUGAUAUUUUGAACCGCAUGGUUCACAAGUGAAAGAAGGUCUUGCUGUCACUUAUAGAUGGAUCCGCGCUGCAUUAGCUAGUUGGUAAGGUAACGGCUUACCAAGGCAACGAUGCAUAGCCGACCUGAGAGGGUGAUCGGCCACACUGGAACUGAGACACGGUCCAGACUCCUACGGGAGGCAGCAGUAGGGAAUCUUCCGCAAUGGGCGAAAGCCUGACGGAGCAACGCCGCGUGAGUGAUGAAGGUCUUCGGAUCGUAAAACUCUGUUAUUAGGGAAGAACAUAUGUGUAAGUAACUGUGCACAUCUUGACGGUACCUAAUCAGAAAGCCACGGCUAACUACGUG